UUAUAACAAUCAUCAUUAUUAUUCUUUCAUCAAUUUUCUCUCCCGUGGAUGGAGCCUGGCAGAGACUUCAGAGCAGGCAGAACUGCUAAAGCAGAAAGUAAUGGUGCCCCCAGGACGAAUAAACGGAGCACUUCAAACCAGCAGAUGCUGCGGAAAGCCCCGGCGCAGGAAAUAUCUGCGGAAUGAAUCGGGAGCUUUAUGGAGCUAGGGCUGAAGGGCUGUAGGAAAGUUCACCAGCCCAGGAGGGGAAGGAAACAGGGAGGACCAGGAGCUGGCACCUCCUAGUGUGGGGCUGGCACCCUGGGGAGUGGGGCUGGCACCUCAGGGUGUGGGUACUGGUGUGGGAUGGAAUCCCUUGAUUGUUUAGGGUCUGACGUCAGCCCCGAUAGGAACGACAAGCAGUUCCCUGCUCAUGGGUGCCCCAAAUCACCUGUGCAGGAACCAGCAGUUCAGUGAAACCCCAGGAAAAGCUGAGGGAUCCCAGAUGGGCACAGGCUCAACCCUGAGGAAGGAGGGAGAUGCUCUGACAGGAGAGCAGUAGAGGGCAGGGACGGCAGGAGGCUGGCCAGGAGGAAGGGAGGCUGGGGGAAAGAGUCUCCAGAGGAGCACCAAGCCAGAAAAGCACAGAGGGGUGGAAAGCUCUGACAAACUGCCCUCAGCCCAGCCCUCAGGUCCCACGGCUGGGACUGCUGCUGCCCGGCUCCGGCAGGGAGGAUGCACAGCAUGGAGGAGAUGGCACCAUGGCAUCAGGGUGAUGGCACCACGGACAAACCCUUGGCUUUAGCCUGAGGGCACAGGAGACUGAGACUCGCAGAGAGUCACCCCUUGGUGGCUGAGGGAACAUGAACCAGUGACAGCAAGACCUGAAAACGGGUUUUCAGGAAGUAAAAUGUUUCUGGGAGUGAAGAGCAAAUGGCUUUGGUGAGACAAUUCAGUGUCACACCAGAUUUCCCCACUUCUUUCCAGUGUCCCCAGGCCAUUUAAGCAGUGGCCGUGUCCUGGGCCUGCCCUGUCCCCACAGCCCCACACCCAGGUGGGUGCUGUGGGAUGGGCAGGGCCCGGUGCCGCGCCAGCGCCCAGCUGGCACCCAGCCCUUGGCUGCACCACGGGCCUCAUUAGGUGCUUAAUUUUUAAGAUGCUCCCUAACUUUACGGGCUCUUUCCCGGCCGAGAGUGCAAACCUGCCUGUGGUCCCCGGUGGCGUCUGCGGGCCGUGCUGCCGGAGCGCGGCGUGCCGGGGCCUGCGCCGCCGUGGGUGGCAGGGCCGUGGCCCGGAGCCCACCCGUCCGUGCCAGGCGUGUUCCUGCAGCCCUUCCUGGGCCAUCCCCACCCGUCCGUGCCAGGCGUGUUCCUGCAGCCCUUCCUGGGCCAUCCCCACCCGUCCGUGCCAGGCGUGUUCCUGCAGCCCUUCCUGGGCCAUCCCCACCCGUCCGUGCCAGGCGUGUUCCUGCAGCCCUUCCUGGGCCAUCCCCAUGGCAGCCCAGAAAUCACCAGAAGCUGAAGCACAUUAAGGGCACUGUCCAAAUGCCUCUGACACCCUGACAGGCUUGGGACAAUGACCCUCUCCCUGGAAAGCCUGUUCCAGAGAUGUGGGGUGGGAGCUGCAGCGAUGGACAAACAGUCUCCAGCUGCCAGAGGAGCAAAUCCUGGAGCCUCACAACUUUUCCAUCCAGCCAUGAAACAAUCUGCUGCUUUUAUUGAAACCAGAUCGCCGGCUCCAUCUUGCAGCCGCUGCUGCAGCGGGUUCGGCACGUCCAGCAGCCCCCGGGAGCUGCCCGCGCCGCGAGGGGAGCGGCGAGGGGGACGCCUGGCCACGUUCCCACCACAGCCUUGCCCACGCUCACAACGUGGACACGUUUUUGGGAAGGUGGAUCAGGCACUGCCAGGAUCUGGAAGGGCUCCUUGGAGCCCUCACGGUUGCCAUGCAAUCCCAGCCCACGUCCCCUGUGGAAGCCCAGGUCAUCCUAAAGGUUACAAGUGAAACUGUUCCACAAUGAGUUCAUGAGUAAAACCAUCCAAACCUGGGAUCCCUUAUCUUUGUGUGGUGGCACAGGGAAAUUGUGGCACUGGAGCAUCCCUGGACCAAGAGAAUGCAAGGACAAAACUGGAUUUCCCCUGGAAAUGCUGCAAAGCCUGGAGAUUCCAUACUGGUGGAAAUCAGUGAGCCAAGCAGAGACAGGAGAGGUUCACACAGAGGCUCAGUGAUGUCACCAGCUAGCAAGUGGUGCCACAUGCUUGGUGCUAGGGAAAUUUUGAACAAAGCCUCGAGGAGCUCAGGGAGGGCUCUGGAUAUCCAGGAGGCUCUGAUGGGGUCCCCAAGGGAGCUCAUGUGCCCCCAGGGAUGGAGGGAGGUGGGCAACAGGGUAAAACCCUCCAGCCGUGGCAGACUGCCCUUUAACAUAGCAGGAGGAGCUACAGACUGGGGGAUUGCAGUGGGAUUGAGUCACUGCUGGGGCAUGGUGAGGGUCCCACACAGUUCCUGAGGGUCUCGGUGUGGAUGCCAUGGAGGGGCUGAUGGAAGGGCUUCGUUUGCAUCUGCAGUUCCUGGGCAGGGAAAGCGUCAGCUUUUCUGUUGCUAAGGAACUCCAGCAAGGUCCAACCUACCCAAAACUAUCAGCACUUGGAAAUCAGAGGCACCACCCCACCUGGCACUGUCCCUCUGCCCCUGCUGGGACAGUGACAGGACUGGAGGGGUGAGGGAGGGUGCAGGACCCCAGCCUGCUCCCUGCCUUCCCUCCCUGGGAAAGCAUCCCUGCUCUCCAGGCAGGGAGACAGUGGGUGCAGCCACCUAGAUGUGCUUAGGAACCCCCCAGAUAUGCUUAGAGACCCCCUUGAUGUGCUUAGAGACAUCCCAGGUGUGCUCACAGACCCCAGAGCUGCUCAUGGACCCCCAGAUUUGCCCACAAACUCCAGAUCUGCUCACAGAGCCCAGAUUUGCCCGUGAGCCCCCAGGUUUUGUCGCUUGGGUUCAUUUAUCUCUCACCAGCAGUGUCAGGGUAGAGUGAGGGCCCCCCUCCCAUGGGAUCACCUUUGCCUGUGCAAGGAAUUCACCCAGGCGUGCUGCAAUAACACUCUUCCUGGGAUGACUUAAUCCUGGCAGCCCCUUUCCAUGCAGGAAAAUAUCCUGAAUGUUUUAACAAGGCAGAGAGUUAUCCAGCUCCUCACCUCCCCUCUCGGCUCAGAAGAACCAUUCCCAAAUUUCCACAGGGAUGUAAGUAAGGCAGUAGCUAGGGAUGAUGGGCUCCUCUCUAGGACCACUUGGCUGCAGUCUGCUAAAGAGAUAUUUUGGGCACUUUUUUUUCUCCGAAGCCUGAGGGUUUUUUGAAACAGAGCAAAUUAACAAACCCCGGAGCCGGCUGAUUUCAGCUGAGUGUUUUGAUGAAUAAUGUGCCAUAAUGGGCCCAAACAAGCUGGGGAGUUUAUCUCAUCCCACUGCACAUCCCAUUCCGUGUCGCAUCCGCUCGCUCCCAGCCCUCCUGCCCCGGCACUGAUUGGAGAGUCUGUUCUCCUCCAUCAUCUGUUCUGGCUGCUCCAAAAUGGAAUAUUUUGAGGAUUCUAGAGAGAAGGGUUUUUUUGUCUGCCAGAAAGCCCUUCUGCCGAGAGGUGUCUGCAGGAAGCUGAGCACAGUCAACUUGCAAAGUUGGGAAAUUUGCUCAAAAUGCAAAUCCUGUCCCUCUGGCUUGGAUCCCAGCACAGUGCAGGUCACGGAGGUGAGGAGCAAACAUGGCCCCAGGUAUUCACAGCUUCCCAAACCAAACACCUGAGCUGGUUUGGGAACGGAUCCAUCAUUUCCAUUUCCGUAUAUAUUUAUUACACUCAGCUCUCCUCAGCACUGGGUAAAAAGCAAGUGCAAAUUGAGCCACUGAUUGAUUGAUUGAUCAUUGCGUGCAUUUACCAAUUGGUUUCCAUUUGUUUGUCUGAGAAAUACCCACAAGCUUUAAAAGCCAGAUUCUCGCUGAUGUCUAGAAAACAGAAUUACAAAAAAAGGUGAGGGAAACCUGCAGGUCGGUUUGUGGGACUGAGCUAGGAUGCUGAGAGCUCCUGAGGCAUCAUCCUGAAGAUGCUCUGGGUAGGAUCACAGGACCACAGAAUUAUUUAGGUUGGAAAAGGCCUCCAAGAUCAUUGAGUUGGUAGUGCCAUGUGUUCCUAUUUAUAAAUUAAUUAGAUCUCAAAUGCACUUGUGGCUGUUGUGGGCUCCCUGGCUGGUGGGAUCUACUGGCUGGAGACGAUGCAGUUCUGACCCUCCGCAGCACAGGGAGUGGCUGGACAUGGGAACAGGCUCCCCAGGGAAGUGGUCAUAGACCCAGGAGUUCACAGAGCACUUGGACAAUACUCUCAGGCACAUGGAAGGAUUUUGGGGCUGUCGUGUGCAGGGCCAGGAGUUGGACUCGGUGAUCCUUGUGGAUCCUGAGUGAUUUGCCCACAGGUGGGUCCAAGGGGACACUCACAGCUCAAGCGGUGGCUGAGGGGUGAGGAGCUCUUGAUCUCCAUCUAGUUCUGAGCCACAGAUGUUCCUUUCUCUAAUCCAUGGACAAGACAUCAGGAGCAGCAGCAUUCCUGAGGGAGCACGAGGGGUUUAUGUUGGGCAAACACCAAGGCUGUUCUGCAGCACCGGGAUGUUUAACCUUGGCCAGGAGGAAUGGUUGUGCUAUUGUACUGCACAAAAUUAAUUGUUCUAACCCCAAGAGACCUGACCAAUGGUGGGCAGCUCCCAGCAAAUUCCCAGAUUUACACAGUCCCUCUCCUGUCCCAAAUAACUGCAUCCAUCAGGAACUAGCAUAUUUCCCCCUGCAGCUUCCCCCAGGGCAGAGAACUGCACCCUUGCCCUGAGGGGUGCCCAGAUGAGCAGGCAGCUGGUCCCGGUGCCAGGAGCUGGCAGGGACGUGGCGCUUGCUGUGCUGGAGCCUUGCUCCCCUCUCCUGCCUCAUUCACCACAUUUCCUGUUGUGGGACAAAUCUGCUUUUUGUGUAAAUCUGUCAGCAGCAAGAAGUCAGUGAGUUUCCCUAAGUGAGUUUUUCGUGUAUUUUUAAUAAAGGUCAC
Molecule: long non-coding RNA, 5039 nt
Organism: Vidua chalybeata
Lineage: Eukaryota; Metazoa; Chordata; Aves; Passeriformes; Viduidae
Exons: 4
Source: RefSeq, a predicted model, not a curated record